This 257-nucleotide ribosomal RNA is filed under the name uncultured bacterium. RNAcentral's name for it is "partial 16S ribosomal RNA". It matches the Rfam family "Bacterial small subunit ribosomal RNA", at positions 524 to 777 of the family's 1533-position model. The record is from RNAcentral.
UACGUAGGGUGCAAGCGUUAAUCGGAAUUACUGGGCGUAAAGCGUGCGCAGGCGGUUUUGUAAGUCUGUCGUGAAAUCCCCGGGCUCAACCUGGGAAUUGCGAUGGAGACUGCAAGGCUAGAAUCUGGCAGAGGGGGGUAGAAUUCCACGUGUGAGCAGUGAAAUGCGUAGAGAUGUGGAGGAACACCGGAUGGCGAAGGCAAUCCCCCUGGACCUGUACUGACGCUCAUGCACGAAAGCGUGGGGAGCAAACAAGG